CCAAUAGCGUAUAUUAAAGUUGUUGCAGUUAAAAAGCUCGUAGUUGAAUUUCGGGGUCAUCAGGUCGGUCGUGCCACUGGUAUGCACUGGCCUCGGUGAUUCCUCCUUCUUGAAGAAGCGUGAUGCCAUUAAGUUGGUGUUGCGGGGAAUCAGGACUGUUACUUUGAAAAAAUUAGAGUGUUUAAAGCAAGCUCGCGCUUGAAUACAUUAGCAUGGAAUAAUAGAAUAGGACGUUCGAUCCUAUUUUGUUGGUUUCUAGGGUUGACGUAAUGAUUAAUAGGGAUAGUUGGGGGCAUUAGUAUUCAAUUGUCAGAGGUGAAAUUCUUGGAUUUAUUGAAGACUGACUACUGCGAAAGCAUUUGCCAAGGAUGUUUUCAUUAAUCAAGAACGAAAGUUAGGGGAUCGAAGACGAUCAGAUACCGUCGUAGUCUUAACCAUAAACUAUGCCGACUAGGGAUCGGAUGAUGUUAAUUUUUUAAUGACUCAUUCGGCGCCUUACG
RNAcentral lists this ribosomal RNA (500 nucleotides) under uncultured Glomeromycotina. RNAcentral's name for it is "partial small subunit ribosomal RNA". It matches the Rfam family "Eukaryotic small subunit ribosomal RNA", at positions 591 to 1092 of the family's 1831-position model. The record is from RNAcentral. Lineage: Eukaryota; Fungi; Glomeromycota.